UCACUGCUGAAGAGUCCCACAAUAGGACGACACGGCUGUCCAGUAC
Molecule: non-coding RNA, 46 nt
Organism: Schistosoma margrebowiei
Lineage: Eukaryota; Metazoa; Platyhelminthes; Trematoda; Strigeidida; Schistosomatidae
Source: Rfam